AAAGCUCUCUCCCGAUGCACAACCGUCGGUGGCAGUAAAGGCUUCAGUACGACCCAGUCAGAACUAUAAGUCUCAAAGCCCCGACGAGUAGGGUGGCGUGCCGGUGAGCGUUGAAGGCCAAGACGUGAGUCAGGCUGGAGCCGCCGGUAGUGCAGAUCUUGGUGGUAGUAGCAAGUACUCUGGUGAACCAACCUGGAGCUGUGAGGUCUGGAUCAGGGUUCCAUGUCAACAGUGAUUGAACAUGGGUGAGUCGAUCCUAAGCCAACUGUGAAAGCAGUGACAUCCCGACAAAGGGGCAAUUCGGUGUGUGGCGGCCACACGCGCGCGUUUGUGUGCACAUUCGCAAGUCUCCUCUCUCUCUCGUCGCGCGCAUGGUUUGCGUGUGUGGGUUUCUCUGGUUACGCUCAAAAAGCGUUAUGGUGUAAGUGAGAGAGAGAGAAAACGAGGCAGUGCCGCGCGCGCGUGUGUGUGCGUUCGUUCUCAAGGCUCCCUGCGUCUGGUUCUAUGUCUGGCGAAAGGGAAUGGGGACUUUGUUCCUUGACCGGUCCCGGCACCCUCGAUAGGCUUUGCCAAUCAAUGGUCCAUGCAAAUGGAACCAGGCCACAGCCGCCGGCAGUCCCCCGAGGAAGAGUUUUCUUUUCUGCUUAACGCACGAGAUCAUCCCUGGAAACAGUUCGGCUGGCGAAAGGGUGCCCCGUUGCGGCAGAGCGCCACGACUGUCGUGCGCGUCUCGGUGUUCCUGCCGGUCCGUGAAGACGUGGUCGAGGGGAUUGCUAUUGUAUCAACUAAACGCCCGACAAGUUCGGGACGGACCGUACCCUAUAUCCGCAUCUGGUCUCCAAGGUUCGUAGCCUCUGCAGAGUCACACACAUGUAGGUAAGGGAAGUCGGCAAACUCGAUCCGUAACUUCGGGAAAAGGAUUGGCUCUGAGGGCCGAGCUG
RNAcentral lists this ribosomal RNA (941 nucleotides) under Niphargus sp. NC660. RNAcentral's name for it is "partial large subunit ribosomal RNA". It matches the Rfam family "Eukaryotic large subunit ribosomal RNA", at positions 1330 to 1968 of the family's 3401-position model. Lineage: Eukaryota; Metazoa; Arthropoda; Malacostraca; Amphipoda; Niphargidae. The record is from RNAcentral.